Molecule: long non-coding RNA, 2401 nt
Organism: Brienomyrus brachyistius
Lineage: Eukaryota; Metazoa; Chordata; Actinopteri; Osteoglossiformes; Mormyridae
Exons: 5
Source: RefSeq, a predicted model, not a curated record
AGGAACCAGAACAGCACAGCAGCGGGUUGUUAUUGUGUCAAGCCAGGAUAGGCUGCAGGAUAAGCCAGUGGUGUGUAAUUUGAUUUGUCCAACGUUCAACAUUAGCUUCAUUUAGGGUUAACGAUCUUCCACCACAUCCAAGUGGUGAAACUAAUGACACACUGGAAAUGGAGAGACAGGAGCUUCUUAACGAGGUAAAGAAGAACAACCGUAGGGUGAUUCAACAAAAAAUGGCCAAACAUUCUCCUAUCGAAGGCUAGAGGUUGUGAGUGGCAGUCCAGGAGCCGAUGACUGCAAAGAGAGAUGGCCUGCUUUUUUUGUGAAGCUGAGGUCAAGGAGGAAUUUAGAAGAAUAACAACAGUUUCCCUGGAGCAGAGGUUCAUGUUUAAACUUGAGCACUACACACCAAAACUUACUGCCCUGAUGAAGGCCAAGGGAGGUGUCAUGGGGACCAAGCUGAGGCCCAUCCUGGACAAACUGAGCCAGGUCUUGAAACCAGCAGCUCGGAGGAGGACAGUACACAGCCCAGCAGUAUAACACAUGAGGUGUGCGUCCAGGACGAGAUCUUUGCGUCCCGCAAUAGCGACAUUUCCUGGACAAGCAAAGCAGAAGAUCGUGCAGGAGGCAGACUGCCAGCACGACAUAUCCUGAGGACACCUCCAGGACCAACGAGGCUGUGCAGGGGACAUUCUUUCUGCCUUCAAGGCAUUCAUGCCAAGACGAGUAGAAAGAAUCAUUGUCACUAUGACAAACUUAGAAGGGAGAAAGCAGUUUUCCAGCAGCUGGGUGGAGCUGACCUCCAUAGAAUUUUAUGCCUUCCUCGGCGUCUGCAUUCUCGCAGGCGUCUUCAAAUGAAAAGGAGAGUCAAUCGCUAGCCUUUGGGACUUGAACGUUGGGAGACCAAUCUUCCCAGCGGUCAUGAACAGGGUGCGGUUCGGGCAGCUGACAUCGGCCCUCAGAUUUGACGACAAAAGAUCACGGCAAGCAAGACGGACGACGGACAGGCUUGCACCCAUCAGAGACAUCUGGGACCUGUGGUCAGCAAAUCUCCCUGUCAUGUAUAAUCUCGGCCACGACUUGACAAUGGACGAGCGCCAGGUACCAUUCAAAGAUGCGUUCUUGCAGGACGCUGCUCCUUCAGGCAAUAUAUGCCUCGCAAGCCCGGGAGGUACGGACUGAAACUCUGGGUGCUGUGCGACGCCAGGACGAGCUACUGCCGGCGAGUGAAGUUGUACACGUGGAAGCCUCCGGGGGAGGCACGGGAAGUCGACGUGGCGAAAAAUGUGGUGCUGGAACUGUCUGAGGGGCUGAGGGGGCACAACAUUACUUUUGAUAAUUUCUUUACCUCCUUCAAUCUGGGACAGGAGCUCCUCCAGCGUCACCUUACGAUGGUAGGCACUGUGCGCCGAAAUCGUCCAGAGCUGCCGCCUGCUCUGCUAACAACUAGGGGCAGGCGGCUACACUCCUCCAAAUUUGCAUUUUCCCACAAUACGACACUCGUGACUUACAUCCCCAAAAACAACAAAAACAUGCUUCUAAUGAGCACGUUCCACAAUAAGCCAAACAUCACCCAACGGCAAGACAGAAAGCUGGAAAUCAUAAUUGAUUAUAACAAAACUAAGAGGGGGGGGGGGGGUUGACACCAUGGAUCAGCUAAUUUCCAAUUAUUCAUGCAAAAGGGAAACCGCUCGCUGGCCCCUUGCAUUAUUUUAUAACAUUCUGGACAUUUCGGCACACGAUGGCUACAUCGUGUGGAAGGAGCUCAAUCCCGGAUGGAAGGCACGACUGAAACAGAGACACAGGCUGUUCCUGCAGGAGCUGGGCGAAGCCCUAAUCGGUCCCACUGUUCCGCAACAAAUGCAUCUUCCUCGAGGGUCCCAUGCUGCUGCAACGGUGAGAGCAAUCAGGGACGCCCAGAUCAGCCAGGCCCACCCCUCAGACGUCCAGUGCACCCAAUCCCAACCCAGUGCAGUCCCACCUCCCCCGGAAGAGAAAUCCAAAAGGAAGAGGGUGCAGCCUGUGCCAUUAUUCUACUGACCGUAAAGCGAACGCGCAGUGUUGCAAGUGUGGGGCACAAGUGUGCAAGGAGCAUUAUGACAUUGUCUGUAAAAAAUGCUAAAUAUAAACUGUAAAUAUAACUGUAAAUAGUUUAGUUCUUUAUUAUUUAUAGUGUAUAGUGUAGUUGUUUGCCGCACUUGUUUGUGUUCUGUGUUCCCGUGUGUUCCUCUUUUCCCGUUUUACCAGCAGUUAUCAUCUCAUCACUCCAAUUUCCCACUUUUAUGUAACCAUACUUGUGUUCUGAGUUCCCGUUUUACCCGCAAUUGUGUGUUUUCUAAAGUUCUGUAAUUCUUUUUUUGUUUUUUAAAUUUUGUUAUUUCACAAGGUUCAUGUCUUUUGAUAA